GACGAACGCUGGCGGCGUGCCUAAUACAUGCAAGUUGAGCGCUGAAGGUUGGUACUUGUACCAACUGGAUGAGCAGCGAACGGGUGAGUAACGCGUGGGGAAUCUGCCUUUGAGCGGGGGACAACAUUUGGAAACGAAUGCUAAUACCGCAUAGAAACUUUAAACACAAGUUUUAAGUUUGAAAGAUGCAAUUGCAUCACUCAAAGAUGAUCCCGCGUUGUAUUAGCUAGUUGGUGAGGUAAAGGCUCACCAAGGCGAUGAUACAUAGCCGACCUGAGAGGGUGAUCGGCCACAUUGGGACUGAGACACGGCCCAAACUCCUACGGGAGGCAGCAGUAGGGAAUCUUCGGCAAUGGACGAAAGUCUGACCGAGCAACGCCGCGUGAGUGAAGAAGGUUUUCGGAUCGUAAAACUCUGUUGGUAGAGAAGAACGUUGGUGAGAGUGGAAAGCUCAUCAAGUGACGGUAACUACCCAGAAAGGGACGGCUAACUACGUG
RNAcentral lists this ribosomal RNA (497 nucleotides) under uncultured bacterium. RNAcentral describes it as "partial 16S ribosomal RNA". It matches the Rfam family "Bacterial small subunit ribosomal RNA", at positions 28 to 507 of the family's 1533-position model. The record is from RNAcentral.